Molecule: ribosomal RNA, 253 nt
Filed under: uncultured bacterium
Lineage: Bacteria
Description: partial 16S ribosomal RNA
Rfam family: Bacterial small subunit ribosomal RNA
Source: RNAcentral
UACAGAGGGUGCAAGCGUUAAUCGGAUUUACUGGGCGUAAAGCGUGCGUAGGCGGUUCGCUAAGUCGGUUGUGAAAUCCCUGGGCUUAACCUGGGAACUGCAGUCGAUACUGGCGGACUAGAGUACGGUAGAGGGUGGCGGAACUCCGGGUGUAGCGGUGAAAUGCGUAGAGAUGUGGAGGAACACCGAUGGCGAAGGCAGCCCCCUGGGCCAAUACUGACGCUCAUGCACGAAAGCGUGGGGAGCAAACAGG